AAGUCGUAACAAGGUUUCCGUAGGUGAACCUGCGGAAGGAUCAUUAACGAAUAUCUAUGGCGUUGGUUGUAGCUGGCUCCUAGGAGCAUUUGUGCACGCCCGUCAUUUAUAUCAUCUUUCCACCUGUGAACUAUCUGUAGUCUGGAUACCUCUCGCUUUGGUGACAAGGCGGAUGCAAGGAUUGCUGCGUCGAAAGGCCAGCUCUCUUUGAAUUUCCAGGUCUAUGUUUUUUACAAACUCCAUUUGAAUGAUGUAGAAUGUAGUCAAUGGGCUUUCAAGCCUGUAAAAAACUAUACAACUUUCAGCAACGGAUCUCUUGGCUCUC
RNAcentral lists this unclassified non-coding RNA (325 nucleotides) under Psathyrella sulcatotuberculosa. RNAcentral describes it as "partial internal transcribed spacer region". The stretch from base 1 to 46 matches the Rfam family "Eukaryotic small subunit ribosomal RNA", at positions 1786 to 1831 of the family's 1831-position model. Lineage: Eukaryota; Fungi; Basidiomycota; Agaricomycetes; Agaricales; Psathyrellaceae. The record is from RNAcentral.